CCCUUAGAUGUUCUGGGCCGAACGCGCGCUACACUGAUGCAUUCAACGAGUUUCUUCCUGGUCCGAGAGGAAUGGGUAACCUUUUGAAAGUGCAUCGUGAUAGGGAUAGACUAUUGCAAUUAUUGGUCUUCAACGAGGAAUUCCUAGUAGACGUAGUUCAUCAGACUGCAUCGAUUACGUCCCUGCCCUUUGUACACACCGCCCGUCGCUCCUACCGAUUGAAUGCUCAGGUGAGCCAUUCGGACUUUCAUCAUGCUGGUUUCCAGUUUUGAUGAAGGAAAGUCUUGCGAACCUUAUCAUUUAGAGGAAGGAGAAGUCGUAACA
RNAcentral lists this ribosomal RNA (324 nucleotides) under uncultured eukaryote. RNAcentral's name for it is "partial 18S ribosomal RNA". It matches the Rfam family "Eukaryotic small subunit ribosomal RNA", at positions 1470 to 1796 of the family's 1831-position model. The record is from RNAcentral.